Molecule: ribosomal RNA, 466 nt
Filed under: Tannerella forsythia
Lineage: Bacteria; Pseudomonadati; Bacteroidota; Bacteroidia; Bacteroidales; Tannerellaceae
Description: bacterial SSU rRNA
Rfam family: Bacterial small subunit ribosomal RNA
Source: RNAcentral
GAGUUUGAUUCUGGCUCAGGAUGAACGCUAGCGAUAGGCUUAACACAUGCAAGUCGAGGGGCAGCGAGGGUAGCAAUACCUGUCGGCGACCGGCGCACGGGUGAGUAACGCGUAUGUAACCUGCCCGCAACAGGGGGAUAACCCGGCGAAAGUCGGACUAAUACCGCAUAAAACAGGGGUCCCGCAUGGGAGUAUUUGUUAAAGAUUUAUCGGUUGCGGAUGGGCAUGCGUACCAUUAGGUAGUUGGUGAGGUAACGGCUCACCAAGCCUUCGAUGGUUAGGGGUUCUGAGAGGAAGGUCCCCCACACUGGUACUGAGACACGGACCAGACUCCUACGGGAGGCAGCAGUGAGGAAUAUUGGUCAAUGGGCGAGAGCCUGAACCAGCCAAGUCGCGUGAAGGAUGACUGCCCUAUGGGUUGUAAACUUCUUUUACAAGGGAAUAAAAUGAGAUACGUGUAUUUUAU